GGCGGCAUGCCUUACACAUGCAAGUCGAACGGCAGCACGGGGGCAACCCUGGUGGCGAGUGGCGAACGGGUGAGUAAUACAUCGGAACGUGUCCUGUAGUGGGGGAUAGCCCGGCGAAAGCCGGAUUAAUACCGCAUACNCUCUACGGAGGAAAGGGGGGGAUCUUCGGACCUCCCGCUAGAGGGGCGGCCGAUGGCAGAUUAGCUAGUUGGUGGGGUAAAGGCCUACCAAGGCGACGAUCUGUAGCUGGUCUGAGAGGACGACCAGCCACACUGGGACUGAGACACGGCCCANACUCCUACGGGAGGCAGCAGUGGGGAAUUUUGGACAAUGGGCGCAAGCCUGAUCC
Molecule: ribosomal RNA, 349 nt
Filed under: uncultured bacterium
Lineage: Bacteria
Description: bacterial SSU rRNA
Rfam family: Bacterial small subunit ribosomal RNA
Source: RNAcentral